CCUACGGGAGGCAGCAGUGAGGAAUAGUGGUCAAUGGGCGCGAGCCUGAACCAGCCAAGUCGCGUGAGGGAAGACGGUCCUAUGGAUUGUAAACCUCUUUUGUCGGGGAGCAAAAGACGGCACGCGUGGCGUGCCGAGAGUACCCGAAGAAAAAGCAUCGGCUAACGCCGUGCCAGCAGCCGCGGUAAUACGGAGGAUGCGAGCGUUAUCCGGAUUUAUUGGGUUGCAAGGGUGCGCAGGCGGAAGAUCAAGUCAGCGGUAAAAUUGAGAGGCUCACCCUCGUCGAGCCGUUGAUACUGGUUUUCUUGAGUGAGUGCGCCGUCUGCUGAAUGCGUGGUGUCGCGGUGACAUGCAUAGCUAUCACGC
Molecule: ribosomal RNA, 366 nt
Filed under: uncultured bacterium
Lineage: Bacteria
Description: partial 16S ribosomal RNA
Rfam family: Bacterial small subunit ribosomal RNA
Source: RNAcentral